UAGUAACGGCGAGUGAAGCGGGAAAAGCUCAAAUUUGAAAUCUCCUGGCUUCGUCAGGCGAAUUGUAGUUUAGAGAAUCUUUUUCGGGGACAGGCGGGGUAUAAGUCCUUUGGAACAAGGCAUCGUAGAGGGUGACAAUCCCGUUCACGAUCCCGUCAUUGGCCCUAUGUGAUAAGAUUUCAAAGAGUCGGGUUGUUUGGGAAUGCAGCCCUAACUGGGUGGUAAAUACCAUCUAAAGCUAAAUAUUGGCGAGAGACCGAUAGCGAACAAGUACCGUGAGGGAAAGAUGAAAAGAACUUUGAAAAGAGAGUUAAAUAGUACGUGAAAUUGUCAAUAGUGAACGGUUUAGAACUAUUGUUUGUCCUAGGAAAAUCAAUUGGUCCCCAUGUGGCCAGUGCACUUUUCCUCGGACAGGUCAACAUCAGUUUGGCUCGGGAUAAAAAGCUCCAUGCGCCUCGGCAAGUGGAGUGCUGUCCCGGACCGGACUGAGGACUGCAGCACAGUCAUAGGAUAGCCAGCCGCCUCAGUGCGUACGGAUGUAAACAGCAUGCUGAUUGCGUCUAGUGCGGACGGAGCUCGGUGGGUGAUUUCUCUCCUGUCGCUUAGGAUGUUGACGAAAUGGUUUUAAGCCACCCGUCUUGAAACACGGACCAAGGAGUCUAACAUAUCUGCGAGUUUUUGGGUGCCAAACCCAUAAGCGCAAUGAAAGUGAAUAAGAUGGGAUCCUCGGAGCACCAUCGACCGGUCUGGAUUUUUUUGAUAGAUCUGAGUUAGAGCAUAUAUGUUAGGACCCGAAAGAUGGUGAACUAAGCCUGAAUAGGGUGAAGCCAGAGGAAACUCUGGUGGAAGCUCGUAGCGGUUCUGACGUGCAAAUCGAUCGUCGAA
This 885-nucleotide ribosomal RNA is filed under the name Polychytrium aggregatum. RNAcentral's name for it is "eukaryotic LSU rRNA". It matches the Rfam family "Eukaryotic large subunit ribosomal RNA", at positions 81 to 909 of the family's 3401-position model. Lineage: Eukaryota; Fungi; Chytridiomycota; Chytridiomycetes; Polychytriales. The record is from RNAcentral.